RNAcentral lists this long non-coding RNA (406 nucleotides) under Populus trichocarpa (black cottonwood). RNAcentral's name for it is "long non-coding RNA (PTRI_LNC003038)". Lineage: Eukaryota; Viridiplantae; Streptophyta; Magnoliopsida; Malpighiales; Salicaceae. The record is from RNAcentral.
GUCCCUCUACUUGUAAUUUCUCUAUUUGUGGGCUUUAUAUUUUUCUUUUUUCUUUUUUCUUUUUUGCAAUUUCAUCCUUUUUAAUUUUAUUGCCUUUGUCUUUUUAAUUCAUUUUUUUCUUAUUCUUUUAAAUGCUAUAUUCUUAUCAUUUUCUUGAUUUAUCUUUUUUUCAAUUUUGUCCCUCAAAAUUUAAUUUCAUUUAGUUUUUUUUAUCUAGUUUUGGUCCUUGUUCUUUCAAUAACCUUUUUUAAAUCUUUUUCUUAGUUUUUUUUUUCAAUUUAGCCCUUGAUUAUUUUCUUUCAUUUGUUUUAUACCAUAUUUUGUCUGCAUUGUUUAAGUUUUAAAUUGUUUUACAAUUCAAUAUUUAACUUUACAAUUUUUUCGUGGUUUCCUUCCAAUAAGGUAG